UGGGGGAUAUUGCACAAUGGGGGGAACCUUGAUGCAGCGACGCCGCGUGAGGGAUGGAGGCCUUCGGGUUGUGAACCUCUUUCGCUCGUGUGCAAGCCGCUAUUUGGGUAGUGGUGAGUGUAGCGGGUAAAGAAGCGCCGGCUAACUACGUGCCAGCAGCCGCGGUAAUACGUAGGGCGCGAGCGUUGUCCGGAUUUAUUGGGCGUAAAGGGCUUGUAGGCGGUUUGUCGCGCCUGUCGUGUAAUCCUCUGGCUUAACUGGGGGUGUGCGGUGGGUACGGGCAGGCUUGAGUGCGGUAGGGGAGAUUGGAAUUCCUGGUGUAGCGGUGGAAUGCGCAGAUAUCAGGAGGAACACCGGUGGCGAAGGCGGGUCUCUGGGCCGUUACUGACGCUGAGGAGCGAAAGCGUGGGGAGCGAACAGG
RNAcentral lists this ribosomal RNA (421 nucleotides) under Fusobacteriota bacterium. RNAcentral describes it as "Fusobacteria bacterium partial 16S ribosomal RNA". It matches the Rfam family "Bacterial small subunit ribosomal RNA", at positions 355 to 776 of the family's 1533-position model. Lineage: Bacteria; Fusobacteriati; Fusobacteriota. The record is from RNAcentral.